UACGGAGGGUGCAAGCGUUAUCCGGAUUUACUGGGUUUAAAGGGUGCGUAGGCGGGUUCAUAAGUCAGGGGUGAAACCUCCGAGCUUAACUCGGAAACUGCCUUUGAUACUAUCAGUCUUGAAUUCAGUUGAGGUGGGCGGAAUGUGUCGUGUAGCGGUGAAAUGCUUAGAUAUGACACAGAACACCAAUUGCGAAGGCAGCUCGCUAAACUGACAUUGACGCUGAGGCACGAAAGCGUGGGGAGCAAACAGG
RNAcentral lists this ribosomal RNA (253 nucleotides) under uncultured bacterium. Its description in RNAcentral is "partial 16S ribosomal RNA". It matches the Rfam family "Bacterial small subunit ribosomal RNA", at positions 524 to 776 of the family's 1533-position model. The record is from RNAcentral.